AUUCUGUUUAAGUCAUCCGGAAAACUAGGAAAUUAGUGAAAGCACAGACACAUUUUUCCCGUUGUAAAAAAAUUAACUUAAAUAUGAAAAGGCAAUCUUAUGGGUACCCAGAUGAUGAUGAUGAUGAGGACGACGAUCCCGUUUGUAAUAUACUAUGACACUGGCUCAUUGGAUAUGUUUCAACAACAUGAGAAGAUAUCCAGCUGAAGUAUAUUUUUGAACCAUUUCGGAACAUAUAAACACAUUAUGUGAAACAUAUCAGUAUAAUAAAAUUGUUCAACAUGUA
Mytilus californianus (California mussel) is the source of this 286-nucleotide long non-coding RNA. RefSeq lists it as uncharacterized. Lineage: Eukaryota; Metazoa; Mollusca; Bivalvia; Mytilida; Mytilidae. The record is from RefSeq and is a predicted model, not a curated record. The transcript has 3 exons.